AACGUAGGUCCCGAGCGUUAUCCGGAUUUACUGGGCGUAAAGCGCGUGCAGGCGGCCCGGCAAGUCGGGCAUGAAAUCUCUCGGCUCAACCGGGAGAGGCUGUCCGAUACUGCCAGGCUUGAGGACGGAAGAGGCGGGUGGAAUUCCGCAUGUAGUGGUGAAAUGCGUAGAGAUGCGGAGGAACACCAGUGGCGAAAGCGGCCCGCUGGCCCGCUCCUGACGCUCAGACGCGAAAGCUCGGGGAGCGAACGGG
RNAcentral lists this ribosomal RNA (253 nucleotides) under uncultured bacterium. RNAcentral's name for it is "partial 16S ribosomal RNA". It matches the Rfam family "Bacterial small subunit ribosomal RNA", at positions 524 to 776 of the family's 1533-position model. The record is from RNAcentral.